UGGGUAAUCUGCCCUCGGCACCGGAAUAGCCCGGGGAAACCCGGAUUAAUACCGGACAGCCUCUCGAGCUCUCGGGCUCGUGAGAAAAGGUAGCUUCGGCCUCCGACUGAGGAUGAGCCCGCGGCGGAUUAGCUUGUUGGCGGGGUAAUGGCCCACCAAGGCGACGAUCCGUAGCUGGUCUGAGAGGACGAUCAGCCACACUGGGACUGAGACACGGCCCAGACCACCGUACGGGAGGNAG
RNAcentral lists this ribosomal RNA (241 nucleotides) under uncultured bacterium. RNAcentral describes it as "partial 16S ribosomal RNA". It matches the Rfam family "Bacterial small subunit ribosomal RNA", at positions 118 to 351 of the family's 1533-position model. The record is from RNAcentral.